CCUACGGGAGGCAGCAGUGAGGAAUAAUGGUCAAUGGCCGUAAGGCUGAACCAGCCAAGUCGCGUGAAGGAAGAAGGAUCUAUGGAUUGUAAACUUCUUUUAUCGGGGAAUAAAGUUAUCCACGCGUGCCUCUUUGCAUGUAGCCUAUGAAUAAGCAUCGGCUAACUCCGUGCCAGCAGCCGCGGUAAUACGGAGGAUGCGAGCGUUAUCCGGAUUUAUUGGGUUUAAAGGGUGCGUAGGUUGGUUUUUAAGUCAGCGGUGAAAGGUAGUGGCUCAACCAUAAGAUUGCCGUUGAAACUGGAAGACUGGAGUGAGUGUGAGGUAGGCGGAAUGCGUGGUGUAGCGGUGAAAUGCAUAGAUAUCACGCAGAACUCCGAUUGCGAAGGCAGCUUACCGGGCCAUAACUGACGCUGAAGCACGAAAGCGUGGGGAUCGAACAGGAUUAGAUACCCUAGUAGUC
Molecule: ribosomal RNA, 460 nt
Filed under: uncultured bacterium
Lineage: Bacteria
Description: partial 16S ribosomal RNA
Rfam family: Bacterial small subunit ribosomal RNA
Source: RNAcentral